This 587-nucleotide long non-coding RNA is filed under the name Carica papaya (papaya). Its description in RNAcentral is "long non-coding RNA (CPAP_LNC006581)". Lineage: Eukaryota; Viridiplantae; Streptophyta; Magnoliopsida; Brassicales; Caricaceae. The record is from RNAcentral.
GGUAUGUACCGAAUUCGAGUGCCUUUUCCAUUCGUGUUCAACUUUCUCUGUUUGGAUUAUAGGAAAACUAAAGAAAAUUAAAAACCGUAUGAAUCUUCACGGAUCCGUCAUCCACGAGUUCAAUCGUAUUCUUAUUUUCCCAUCUGGGUCUUUAUCAAACAAAACAAAAAGAAAAAAAACCCAGGUCUUAUUGAACCAACUCUGAUCCCUUAAAGUGUGUUGACAGGUGUGGAAUCCAUUUCCAUUGACAUGAAAGAUCAGAAACUGACGGUGAUCGGAGACGUUGAUCCCGUGGACAUCGUGAACAAACUGAAGAAGUUAUGCUAUCCAGAAAUCGUCUCUGUUGGUCCUGCAAAAGAGCCUGAGAAGAAGAAAGAAGAACCCAAAAAACCAGAACCAAAAAAAGAAGAUCCCAAGAAAGAUGAAUUAGCCGUUCACCUUGCAAAUCUCCACAGAGCUUGGAAUCCUCAUAUGACUCAGCACUAUUUUGUCAGAAGCGUAGAAGAAGAUCCCAAUGCCUGUGUUAUUUGCUGAAUCUUCUUAAUGGAAAAUUUUAGCUCAGGCGGAAAAGAAAAUUUAUAAAGGAA